CGGUUAAAAAGGCUCGUAGUUGGAUCUCGGCGGGCAGGGGGUGGUUCGCUCUUCAGCGCUACUGCCCCGCUUUGCCCGUGUGAUUGGCGGAGGUUCGGGGUGCUCUUCGUUGAGUGACUCGGAGCGCCGUCAGGUUUACUUUGAAAAAAUUAGAGUGCUCAAAGCAGGCUUUUCACGCUUGAAUAUUCGUGCAUGGAAUAAUGGAAUAGGAACUCGUUUCUAUUUUGUUGGUUUUCGGAAAUCGAGUUAAUGAUUAACAGGGACAAUUGGGGGCAUUAGUAUUCAGACGACAGAGGUGAAAUUCUUGGACCGUCUGAAGACUGACUACUGCGAAAGCAUUUGCCAAGAGUGUUUUCAUUAAUCAAGAACGAAAGUUAGAGGUUCGAAGGCGAUCAGAUACCGCCCUAGUUCUAACCAUAAACGAUGCCAGCUAGCGAUCUGCCGAGUUUUUUUUGUAGGCUCCGCAGGAAGCUUUCGGGAAACCAAAGCUUUUGGGUUCCGGGGGAAGUAUGGUUGCAAAGCUGA
Molecule: ribosomal RNA, 525 nt
Filed under: uncultured eukaryote
Lineage: Eukaryota
Description: SSU rRNA
Rfam family: Eukaryotic small subunit ribosomal RNA
Source: RNAcentral